CACCGCGGUUAUACGAGGGGCCCAAACCGAUAUUUAACGGCGUAAAGCGUGAUUAGAGACACCAUAAACUAAAGCAGAACAUCCCCCAAGCUGUUAUACGCUAACGGAAUGAUUGAAUUCCCACAACGAAAGUGGCUUUAAAACUCUUGAACUCACGAACAUUAAGAAA
This 169-nucleotide ribosomal RNA is filed under the name Neenchelys parvipectoralis. RNAcentral describes it as "partial 12S rRNA". The record is from RNAcentral. RNAcentral also lists the same sequence under 1 other name. Lineage: Eukaryota; Metazoa; Chordata; Actinopteri; Anguilliformes; Ophichthidae.